RNAcentral lists this ribosomal RNA (513 nucleotides) under uncultured Glomus. RNAcentral's name for it is "SSU rRNA". It matches the Rfam family "Eukaryotic small subunit ribosomal RNA", at positions 569 to 1087 of the family's 1831-position model. The record is from RNAcentral. Lineage: Eukaryota; Fungi; Glomeromycota; Glomeromycetes; Glomerales; Glomeraceae.
AGCAGCCGCGGUAAUUCCAGCUCCAAUAGCGUAUAUUAAAGUUGCUGCAGUUAAAAAGCUCGUAGUUGAAUUUCGGGACUAAUAUGUCGGUCGUGCCUCGGUACGUACUGGCUUAUUGGUUUCUCCUUUCUGAAGAACCAUGAUGUCAUUUAUUUGGUGUCGUGGGGAAUCAGGACUGUUACUUUGAAAAAAUUAGAGUGUUUAAAGCAGGCUCACGCUUGAAUACAUUAGCAUGGAAUAAUGAAAUAGGACGUUUGAUUCUAUUUUGUUGGUUUCUAGGAUCGACGUAAUGAUUAAUAGGGAUAGUUGGGGGCAUUAGUAUUCAAUUGUCAGAGGUGAAAUUCUUGGAUUUAUUGAAGACUAACUACUGCGAAAGCAUUUGCCAAGGAUGUUUUCAUUAAUCAAGACGAAAGUUAGGGGAUCGAAGACGAUCAGAUACCGUCGUAGUCUUAACCAUAAACUAUGCCGACUAGGGAUCGGAUGAUGUAAUUUUUUAAUGACUCAUUCGGCGCC